RNAcentral lists this non-coding RNA (79 nucleotides) under Photobacterium proteolyticum. RNAcentral's name for it is "Bacterial small subunit ribosomal RNA". It matches the Rfam family "Bacterial small subunit ribosomal RNA", at positions 1 to 79 of the family's 1533-position model. The record is from Rfam by way of RNAcentral. Lineage: Bacteria; Pseudomonadati; Pseudomonadota; Gammaproteobacteria; Vibrionales; Vibrionaceae.
AAAUUGAAGAGUUUGAUCAUGGCUCAGAUUGAACGCUGGCGGCAGGCCUAACACAUGCAAGUCGAGCGGCAGCGACAUG